GAUCUACUCCCUCCAUUCCAUAAUUCUUGUCUCAAAUUUGCCCAAAAAUGGAUGUAUCCAUUCCUAAAAAGCGUCUAGAUGCAUGUGAUAUUUCGACAAGAAUUAUGGAAUGGAGGGAGUACUAU
This is a non-coding RNA of Brachypodium distachyon (stiff brome), 125 nucleotides long. Lineage: Eukaryota; Viridiplantae; Streptophyta; Magnoliopsida; Poales; Poaceae. The record is from Rfam.